AGCUCCAAUAGCGUAUAUUAAAGUUGUUGCAGUUAAAAAGCUCGUAGUUGAAUUUCGGAGGAGAACCCUUGGUGUACCUUCGGGUACCACUGGGGCGUUCGAAUCUUUCUUCUGGGGAAACUUGGUGUCCUUAACCGGACGCCCAGGGGAACCAGGACGAUUACCUUGAGAAAAAUAGAGUGUUCAAAGCAGGCUUGUGCUUGAAUACGUUAGCAUGGAAUAAUAAAAUAGGACUUUGGUUCUAUUUUGUUGGUUUUAAGGACCAAUGUCAUGAUGAAUAGGGACAGUUGGGGGCAUUAGUAUUUCGAAGCUAGAGGUGAAAUUCUUGGAUUUUCGAAAGACUAACUACUGCGAAAGCAUUUGCCAAGGAUGUUUUCA
This 378-nucleotide ribosomal RNA is filed under the name uncultured eukaryote. RNAcentral describes it as "partial small subunit ribosomal RNA". It matches the Rfam family "Eukaryotic small subunit ribosomal RNA", at positions 587 to 972 of the family's 1831-position model. The record is from RNAcentral.